This is a long non-coding RNA of Juglans regia (Persian walnut), 1119 nucleotides long. RefSeq lists it as uncharacterized. The transcript has 6 exons. NCBI's taxonomy places the organism in Eukaryota, Viridiplantae, Streptophyta, Magnoliopsida, Fagales, Juglandaceae. The record is from RefSeq and is a predicted model, not a curated record.
CUCUGUUUUCUUCUUCCCCAAUUCAUUCGAAAUUGCCCCGCAUGAAAAUUUCCUCCCUCGCUCGCGUCUCAUCGUUGCUCUGCCCACCGCCACCGUCGGCGCCGCCUCUCUGAGCGACCCUCCCUCUGCCCAAACCAAGAUUGCGCAGUUUGAAAAGGUAAGCGGAGACCGAUUUAUUCUCUACCUAGUGAGGAUGUAAGUACCACGUAAUUACUCUGCCCAGCAACGCCCCCGUCGACCCUCCCAUCCUCUCCCCGAGAUUUUCUUGGAUUUUCACGGCAAACAGUUAAUACUAGUGAUUUACACUAGUAAAUCAGACAAGCACAAGAAAUGGUUCUCGUUGAUUGAUGCGGUAACGUUGUCACAUAAGAGGGUUCUGCUACCUGUUAAAAAACUUCGUGAGUCUUCUCUUGUUAGCAGCGAGUUGCAUAGGACACUGUAUGGCUUUAUUCUAUUUGACGUUUCAUGGAACAAUGUCCGAGGCAUCAAUUACUUGAAUGAGCUUCAGGGAAGACACUGCUUGCAAAAACACUAGCUCGAUUUGUGAACGUGCCCUUUGUCAUCGUUGAUGCAACAACUUUGACACAGGUGCAUCACUUUUCCAACUGUGGGGUAAGAUGGUGCUUUUAAUUUCUGGGACAAAGACAAUAAACAGAGACUCAAGUUGUGUCAAGAAGUGCUGCUGCAAGAUGGGCAGGGGAAAGAUUGAGAUCUAGAUGAUUGAUGACGUACACUACCAAUCGUCAAGUCACCUUCUGCAAGCGGAUUAAUGAACUCUUGAAGAAAGCUUGUGCUGUUACUUGUGCUAUUUGCUUGUGCUGUUGCUUGCUUGGUAUGACACCAAGGCUUCUGAAGUGUAACUGUGGUUUUGAUGUGUUGUACAGUGGAGGAAAAGCUAGAUUAGUGCUAAAAGUAUGCACAUUGGAGGAAACAAGAAAAUGAGACUACUUAGAUUAGAAUCUUGGAUUUUGGAAUAUUGGAUUUUGUAAUGAAUAUUAUGAGACUACUUAGGUCGUAAUAAGCUGCUUUGUAAUGUUGUAUCCAAUUGGAAUGAAUAUUAUGACUCAAUAUUUUACUAGAUGACUUAAUCUAAGGAUGGUUAUUUGAUGGCAGUGUAAA